RNAcentral lists this ribosomal RNA (253 nucleotides) under uncultured bacterium. RNAcentral describes it as "partial 16S ribosomal RNA". It matches the Rfam family "Bacterial small subunit ribosomal RNA", at positions 524 to 776 of the family's 1533-position model. The record is from RNAcentral.
GACGAACCGUGCGAACGUUGUUCGGAAUCACUGGGCUUAAAGGGCGCGUAGGCGGGCCUUCAAGUCCGGGGUGAAAUCCUCCCGCUUAACGGGAGAAGAGCCUCGGAGACUGAGGGCCUCGAGGGAGGUAGGGGCGUGCGGAACUAUGGGUGGAGCGGUGAAAUGCAUUGACAUCCAUAGGAACUCCGGUGGCGAAGGCGGCACGCUGAACCUUUUCUGACGCUGAGGCGCGAAAGCCAGGGGAGCAAACGGG